UGGGGAAUAUUGCACAAUGGACGGAAGUCUGAUCCAGCAACGCCGCGUGCGGGAUGACGGCCUUCGGGUUGUAAACCGCUUUUUCUCAUGACGAAGUUUUUUGACGGUAGUGGGGGAAGAAGCACCGGCUAACUACGUGCCAGCAGCCGCGGUGAUACGUAGGGUGCGAGCGUUGUCCGGAAUUAUUGGGCGUAAAGAGCUUGUAGGCGGUUUGUCGCGUCGAUAGUGCAAACUCAGUGCUUAACGCUGAGCCUGCUGUUGAUACGGGCAGACUAGAGGAAGGUAGGGGAGAAUGGAAUUCCCGGUGGAGCGGUGGAAUGCGCAGAUAUCGGGAGGAACACCGGUGGCGAAGGCGGUUCUCUGGGCCUUUCCUGACGCUGAGAAGCGAAAGCGUGGGGAGCGAACAGG
RNAcentral lists this ribosomal RNA (408 nucleotides) under Fusobacteriota bacterium. RNAcentral describes it as "Fusobacteria bacterium partial 16S ribosomal RNA". It matches the Rfam family "Bacterial small subunit ribosomal RNA", at positions 355 to 776 of the family's 1533-position model. The record is from RNAcentral. Lineage: Bacteria; Fusobacteriati; Fusobacteriota.